This 254-nucleotide ribosomal RNA is filed under the name uncultured bacterium. RNAcentral's name for it is "partial 16S ribosomal RNA". It matches the Rfam family "Bacterial small subunit ribosomal RNA", at positions 524 to 776 of the family's 1533-position model. The record is from RNAcentral.
UACGUAGGGACCGAGCGUUGUCCGGAUUCAUUGGGCGUAAAGAGCUCGUAGGCGGUCUGUCGCGUCUGCCGUGAAAACCCGAGGCUUAACCUCGUGGCUUGCGGUGGAUACGGGCAGACUAGAGGUAGGUAGGGGAGAAUGGAAUUCCCGGUGUAGCGGUGAAAUGCGCAGAUAUCGGGAGGAACACCGGUGGCGAAGGCGGUUCUCUGGGCCUUACCUGACGCUGAGGAGCGAAAGCGUGGGGAGCGAACAGG